CAUAGGUUAAUGAGGCGAACCGGGGGAACUGAAACAUCUAAGUACCCCGAGGAAAAGAAAUCAACCGAGAUUCCCCCAGUAGCGGCGAGCGAACGGGGAGGAGCCCAGAGCCUGAAUCAGUGUGUGUGUUAGUGGAAGCGUCUGGAAAGGCGCGCGAUACAGGGUGACAGCCCCGUACACAAAAAUGCACAUAUUGUGAGCUCGAUGAGUAGGGCGGGACACGUGGUAUCCUGUCUGAAUAUGGGGGGACCAUCCUCCAAGGCUAAAUACUCCUGACUGACCGAUAGUGAACCAGUACCGUGAGGGAAAGGCGAAAAGAACCCCGGCGAGGGGAGUGAAAAAGAACCUGAAACCGUGUACGUACAAGCAGUGGGAGCCUCUUAAUGGGGUGACUGCGUACCUUUUGUAUAAUGGGUCAGCGACUUAUAUUCUGUAGCAAGGUUAACCGAAUAGGGGAGCCGAAGGGAAACCGAGUCUUAACUGGGCGUUAAGUUGCAGGGUAUAGACCCGAAACCCGGUGAUCUAGCCAUGGGCAGGUUGAAGGUUGGGUAACACUAACUGGAGGACCGAACCGACUAAUGUUGAAAAAUUAGCGGAUGACUUGUGGCUGGGGGUGAAAGGCCAAUCAAACCGGGAGAUAGCUGGUUCUCCCCGAAAGCUAUUUAGGUAGCGCCUCGUGAAUUCAUCUCCGGGGGUAGAGCACUGUUUCGGCAAGGGGGUCAUCCCGACUUACCAACCCGAUGCAAACUGCGAAUACCGGAGAAUGUUAUCACGGGAGACACACGGCGGGUGCUAACGUCCGUCGUGAAGAGGGAAACAACCCAGACCGCCAGCUAAGGUCCCAAAGUCAUGGUUAAGUGGGAAACGAUGUGGGAAGGCCCAGACAGCCAGGAUGUUGGCUUAGAAGCAGCCAUCAUUUAAAGAAAGCGUAAUAGCUCACUGGUCGAGUCGGCCUGCGCGGAAGAUGUAACGGGGCUAAACCAUGCACCGAAGCUGCGGCAGCGACACUAUGUGUUGUUGGGUAGGGGAGCGUUCUGUAAGCCUGUGAAGGUGGCCUGUGAGGGUUGCUGGAGGUAUCAGAAGUGCGAAUGCUGACAUAAGUAACGAUAAAGCGGGUGAAAAGCCCGCUCGCCGGAAGACCAAGGGUUCCUGUCCAACGUUAAUCGGGGCAGGGUGAGUCGACCCCUAAGGCGAGGCCGAAAGGCGUAGUCGAUGGGAAACAGGUUAAUAUUCCUGUACUUGGUGUUACUGCGAAGGGGGGACGGAGAAGGCUAUGUUGGCCGGGCGACGGUUGUCCCGGUUUAAGCGUGUAGGCUGGUUUUCCAGGCAAAUCCGGAAAAUCAAGGCUGAGGCGUGAUGACGAGGCACUACGGUGCUGAAGCGACAAAUGCCCUGCUUCCAGGAAAAGCCUCUAAGCAUCAGGUAACAUCAAAUCGUACCCCAAACCGACACAGGUGGUCAGGUAGAGAAUACCAAGGCGCUUGAGAGAACUCGGGUGAAGGAACUAGGCAAAAUGGUGCCGUAACUUCGGGAGAAGGCACGCUGAUAUGUAGGUGAAGCGACUUGCUCGUGGAGCUGAAAUCAGUCGAAGAUACCAGCUGGCUGCAACUGUUUAUUAAAAACACAGCACUGUGCAAACACGAAAGUGGACGUAUACGGUGUGACGCCUGCCCGGUGCCGGAAGGUUAAUUGAUGGGGUUAGCGGUAACGCGAAGCUCUUGAUCGAAGCCCCGGUAAACGGCGGCCGUAACUAUAACGGUCCUAAGGUAGCGAAAUUCCUUGUCGGGUAAGUUCCGACCUGCACGAAUGGCGUAAUGAUGGCCAGGCUGUCUCCACCCGAGACUCAGUGAAAUUGAACUCGCUGUGAAGAUGCAGUGUACCCGCGGCAAGACGGAAAGACCCCGUGAACCUUUACUAUAGCUUGACACUGAACAUUGAGCCUUGAUGUGUAGGAUAGGUGGGAGGCUUUGAAGUGUGGACGCCAGUCUGCAUGGAGCCGACCUUGAAAUACCACCCUUUAAUGUUUGAUGUUCUAACGUGGGCCCCUUACCGGGGUUGCGGACAGUGUCUGGUGGGUAGUUUGACUGGGGCGGUCUCCUCCUAAAGAGUAACGGAGGAGCACGAAGGUUGGCUAAUCCUGGUCGGACAUCAGGAGGUUAGUGCAAUGGCAUAAGCCAGCUUGACUGCGAGCGUGACGGCGCGAGCAGGUGCGAAAGCAGGUCAUAGUGAUCCGGUGGUUCUGAAUGGAAGGGCCAUCGCUCAACGGAUAAAAGGUACUCCGGGGAUAACAGGCUGAUACCGCCCAAGAGUUCAUAUCGACGGCGGUGUUUGGCACCUCGAUGUCGGCUCAUCACAUCCUGGGGCUGAAGUAGGUCCCAAGGGUAUGGCUGUUCGCCAUUUAAAGUGGUACGCGAGCUGGGUUUAGAACGUCGUGAGACAGUUCGGUCCCUAUCUGCCGUGGGCGCUGGAGAACUGAGGGGGGCUGCUCCUAGUACGAGAGGACCGGAGUGGACGCAUCACUGGUGUUCGGGUUGUCAUGCCAAUGGCACUGCCCGGUAGCUAAAUGCGGAAGAGAUAAGUGCUGAAAGCAUCUAAGCACGAAACUUGCCCCGAGAUGAGUUCUCCCUGACUCCUUGAGAGUCCUGAAGGAACGUUGAAGACGACGACGUUGAUAGGCCGGGUGUGUAAGCGCAGCGAUGCGUUGAGCUAACCGGUACUAAUGAACCGUGAGGCUUAACCUUACAACGCCG
RNAcentral lists this ribosomal RNA (2750 nucleotides) under Escherichia coli. Its description in RNAcentral is "partial 23S ribosomal RNA". It matches the Rfam family "Bacterial large subunit ribosomal RNA". Lineage: Bacteria; Pseudomonadati; Pseudomonadota; Gammaproteobacteria; Enterobacterales; Enterobacteriaceae. The record is from RNAcentral.